AGAACGAACGCUGGCGGCAGGCUUAACACAUGCAAGUCGAGCGCCCCGCAAGGGGAGCGGCAGACGGGUGAGUAACGCGUGGGAAUCUACCUAGCUCUUCGGAAUAGCUCCGGGAAACUGGAAUUAAUACCGAGUACGCCCUACGGGGGAAAGAUUUAUCGGAGUUAGAUGAGCCCGCGUUGGAUUAGCUAGUUGGUGGGGUAAUGGCCUACCAAGGCGACGAUCCAUAGCUGGUCUGAGAGGAUGAUCAGCCACACUGGGACUGAGACACGGCCCAGACUCCUACGGGAGGCAGCAGUGGGGAAUAUUGGACAAUGGGCGCAAGCCUGAUCCAGCCAUGCCGCGUGAGUGAUGAAGGCCCUAGGGUUGUAAAGCUCUUUCAGUGGGGAAGAUAAUGACGGUACCCACAGAAGAAGCCCGGACUAACUCGUGCCAGCAGCCGC
This 443-nucleotide ribosomal RNA is filed under the name uncultured soil bacterium. RNAcentral's name for it is "bacterial SSU rRNA". It matches the Rfam family "Bacterial small subunit ribosomal RNA", at positions 26 to 518 of the family's 1533-position model. The record is from RNAcentral.